CCUUACUAUUCAAAAUAAAUUCACUUACAGGAUUUCAAAGGUAGCUUAAGGUUUAAGGAAUCGUAAUCACCAGGAUGUACCCUUUCGACGUGAGCAAGUCCUCUGUAUCUUUGAACUAUGGGUACUGCCAGGAUCUCACACACCACACACCCCAUCUCCCUUCCUCAAGAGAGGACAGGUACCACUCCUAGUCACCGGAAAGACUCCGGCCUGAGCAAGCUCGAACCGCCGCCCUGUCAGACCAUGAAGCCUGGCAGCGCAGCGCUCUAACCAGUUGCGCCAUCCAUGUGGGGGACCCCCUAGAGAGGAGUUCUCCCAAGUUGAGGAGGCCCUGCUCGACCUUCUUUCUCCCACAGGGUAUGCAAGUCUGCCCAUUCCUGACAGCGAGGGUGGUUCUUUGAAUGUAGCUGGUGCUACACAGUGCCUUCCCUCCCAGGCUCUGGGUCCUGCUCAAGAAGGUACCCAUCCCUCCACAAGUGGUACACCGCAGGGAGAGUUUACUGUCAUGGUGAUUGAAGGCGAGG
This is a long non-coding RNA of Eriocheir sinensis (Chinese mitten crab), 524 nucleotides long. RefSeq lists it as uncharacterized. NCBI's taxonomy places the organism in Eukaryota, Metazoa, Arthropoda, Malacostraca, Decapoda, Varunidae. The transcript is spliced from 3 exons. The record is from RefSeq and is a predicted model, not a curated record.